UAAAACACCACUUCUCAUUCGAUCACUGAAAUUAAGCAAUGUCGUGCCUGAUCAGUACUUAGAUGGAGACCACUUGGGAAUACCAGGUGCUGUAAG
Molecule: non-coding RNA, 96 nt
Organism: Acanthosepion pharaonis
Lineage: Eukaryota; Metazoa; Mollusca; Cephalopoda; Sepiida; Sepiidae
Source: the annotation of a GenBank genome assembly